AGUCGAACGGCAGCACGGACUUCGGUCUGGUGGCGAGUGGCGAACGGGUGAGUAAUGUAUCGGAACGUGCCUAUAGCGGGGGAUAACUACGCGAAAGCGUAGCUAAUACCGCAUACGCCCUUCGGGGGAAAGCGGGGACCUUCGGGCCUCGCACUAUUAGAGCGGCCGAUAUCGGAUUAGCUAGUUGGUGGGUAACGGCUCACCAAGGCGACGAUCCGUAGCUGGUUUGAGAGGACGACCAGCCACACUGGGACUGAGACACGGCCCAGACUCCUACGGGAGGCAGCAGUGGGGAAUUUUGACAAUGUGGGAAACCCGAUCCAGCCAUCCCGCGUGUGCGAUGAAGGCCUUCGGGUUGUAAAGCACUCCCGCAGGAAAAGAAACGGCACGGGAUAAUACCCCGCAAAUUGACGGUACCUGCAGAAUAAGCACCGGCUAACUACGUGCCAGCAGCCGCGGUAAUACGUAGGGUGCAAGCGUUAAUCGGAAUUACUGGGUAAAGCGUGCGCAGGCGGUUCGGAAAGAAAAAGAUGUGAAAUCCCAGAGCUUAACUUUGGAACUGCAUUUUUAACUACCGAGCUAGAGUGCACGAGGAGGUGGAAUUCCGCGUGUAGCAGUGAAAUGCGUAGAUAUGCGGAGGAACACCGAUGGCGAAGGCAGCCUCCUGGGAUAACACUGACGCUCAUGCACGAAAGCGUGGGGAGCAAACAGGAUUAGAUACUCCUGGUAGUCCACCGCCUCAAACGAUGUCAACUAGCUGUUGGGGCUCGGGCCGGUAGCGCAGCUAACGCGUGAAGUUGACCGCCUGGGGAGUACGGUCGCAAGAUUAAACUCAAAGGAAUUGACGGGGACCCGCACAAGCGGUGGAUGAUGUGGAUUAAUUCGAUGCAACGCGAAAACCUUACCUACCCUUGACAUGUCUGGAAUCCCGAAGAGAUUUGGGAGUGCUCGCAAGAGAACCGGAACACAGGUGCUGCAUGGCUGUCGUCAGCUCGUGUCGUGAGAUGUUGGGUUAAGUCCUGGCAACGAAAGCAACCCUUGUCAUUAGUUGCUACGAAAGGGCACUCUAAUGAGACUGCCGGUGACAAACCGGAGGAAGGUGGGGAUGACGUCGUCUGCGGUCUUAUGGGUAGGGUCACACACGUCAUACAAUGGUCGGGACAGAGGGUCGCCAACCCGCGAGGGGGAGCCAAUCCCAGAAACCCGAUCGUAGUCCGGAUCGCAGUCUGCAACUCGACUGCGUGAAGUCGGAAUCGCUAGUAAUCGCGGAUCGCAUUGUCGCGGUGAAUACGUUCCCGGGUCUUGUACACACCGCCUGUCACACCAUGGAGUGGGUUUUACCAGAAGUAGUUAGCCUAACCGUAAGGAGUGGCGAUUACCACGGUAGGAUUCAUGACUGGGGAAGUCGUAACAAGGUAA
Molecule: ribosomal RNA, 1419 nt
Filed under: uncultured Bordetella sp.
Lineage: Bacteria; Pseudomonadati; Pseudomonadota; Betaproteobacteria; Burkholderiales; Alcaligenaceae
Description: partial 16S-23S ribosomal RNA intergenic spacer
Rfam family: Bacterial small subunit ribosomal RNA
Source: RNAcentral